This 291-nucleotide long non-coding RNA is filed under the name Marmota monax (woodchuck). Lineage: Eukaryota; Metazoa; Chordata; Mammalia; Rodentia; Sciuridae. The record is from RNAcentral.
CCGGGGAGGGGCUCCUUAAAGAAACGCUGCUGUCGCUCGCCUGCUCGCUUUUCGCUCGGCUUUGUGGCCAGCCAGCCGGGCACUCGGGGGGCACGCGCAGCCGCCACUCGAGCUUUGCCCCCACCCCAACCGCCAGAAGAUCUGGGGUGGGGACCCAGGCGGGGGCUUUUGCAGCCACUGCCCAGUGCGUACUGCACAGAGCGACCCAUUCCUCCCGGCGCCGAGAAAGGAGCAACGGAGCCCUCCUCAGCCGGCCGGCCUCCCCGCCCCUGACCACCCGCUUCCCGGCUG